GCAAGUCAGGGGCGAGCGACAAGGAGCAAUCUGAGGUGGCGACCGGCGCACGGGUGAGUAACACGUAUGCAACCUGCCUGUAAGCGGGGAAUAAACCCGUUGAAAGACGGACUAAUACCGCAUAAUACUAAAUUACUGCAUGGUAAUUUAUUUAAACAUUUAUGGCCUACAGAUGGGCAUGCGCAUGAUUAGCUAGUUGGAGAGGUAACGGCUCCCCAAGGCAACGAUCAUUAGGGGUUCUGAGAGGAAGGUCCCCCACACUGGUACUGAGACACGGACCAGACUCCUACGGGAGGCAGCAGUGAGGAAUAUUGGUCAAUGGGCGGGAGCCUGAACCAGCCAAGUCGCGUAGAAGGAAGAAGGAUCUAUGGUUCGUAAACUUCUUUUGCAGGGGAAUAAAGUGCAGGACGUGUCCUGUUUUGUAUGUACCCUGAGAAUAAGGAUCGGCUAACUCCGUGCCAGCCGCCGC
This 469-nucleotide ribosomal RNA is filed under the name uncultured bacterium. RNAcentral describes it as "bacterial SSU rRNA". It matches the Rfam family "Bacterial small subunit ribosomal RNA", at positions 57 to 518 of the family's 1533-position model. The record is from RNAcentral.